CAUAUAAUCAACAUAUUAUUGAUGUAAUCAUUGAUCAAAGUUAUCUCAACGCCAAUCCAGUGUCUUUUCCUGCCUUACAAAUCCAGUGUAGGAAUGGUUGCCAAAGUCAUAGAAGUAUGGCUCCAAAAAAUUAUCUCGGCUCUCGUGAAUGCUGGUAGACUAGUCCCCUGCAGUGUUUUGCGCCGACUUGCCAACACCAACACCUUCGUCUCUACGGGAAGGAAUCAUCUUUUUUUCUACGGGAAGGAAUAGAUUAAAACAAUCAAUCAAGCAAGACCUAUUAUUUUGGCCUGAUCAUGCGCUGUUGAGAAGGGAGAACAAGAACAUGAGAACAUGAGAACACCAAGAGCAACAAAGGCACAGACAAGCGCAAGAUAAAAUUACGCCUAGGCAGGCCGACUUACUGAUCUUGCAACGUGGCAUACAAGUACCUUGAUGCAGCAUGCAUCCGGUAGUGUUCAAGUAGAAUGUCAGUCUCAUGGAAAGGAGUGCAGCAAGGGGACAGUGCGAGGUCGUGGUCAUGGAAAAGGAGGUGCAAGCAAUCACUAACAAGUCAAGGCACCAGCUGCAAGAAGAAGAAAGCCAUGGAGGGAGGGAUAAUCAAAACAGAGAGAUGAGAGUAUCUGCAACAGCGACACGCCGGGCCUGAAAGGGAAAUGCAGAGUUGGACAUGUACUACGUACAACAAGGCCGUCUGAGACAGAGGAUGAACAGAUGACGCACUAGCAGUGCAGCUAGGCGCCUUUAAGCGCAUCCCAACCACCGCUAAAACACGAACAAAAUCGGCACUUACAACGUUUUGUACUCCCUCCGUCUGACUUUCUAUUCACGCCGACAUAUAAGACGCCCUGAUACGGUUUUCAAUUAUGACAAGGAUACAUUCCCUUCUGAUUACGCGGUGCAGCACGCGCACGCCUGGUGCAGGCAGCUAAGCCAACCUGAGACUGACAUCCGCAGGUGUUACAUGUCACUCAACUUAAAAUCUUAAAUACAGGAAAUGCUUGGGAAUUACAGUAGCCACUAAGGUGCAAGGAAAAGGCCGUGGGCCUGAUAGGAGGCUAACACCUAAUGCUGCUAUUAAAUGAGAUUUAAGCUGGUAGUGCUGCGAUGUUUGUAAGAAGUAGCACAUGUCCUUGCAAAGUGCAUAAAGAAUAUUUCUCUGAAAAGUGCAUCAAGAAUAUGAUUAAAAAAAGAAAGAAAGAAAGAAAAAAGAAGAACAGGAAAACCAUAUCUGCACUAACUCUGAAGAUAGAGCAGUUCGGAAUAGCAUGUGCUUAGCGCAGCACUACAGGCAACCUCCUUUUUGAAAGAAAAAAAACACACAACUCAGAGAUAAAUAUUGGAAACUUGCUUACGGU
This 1358-nucleotide long non-coding RNA is filed under the name Brachypodium distachyon (stiff brome). RNAcentral describes it as "long non-coding RNA (BDIS_LNC004249)". The record is from RNAcentral. Lineage: Eukaryota; Viridiplantae; Streptophyta; Magnoliopsida; Poales; Poaceae.